This 253-nucleotide ribosomal RNA is filed under the name uncultured bacterium. RNAcentral's name for it is "partial 16S ribosomal RNA". It matches the Rfam family "Bacterial small subunit ribosomal RNA", at positions 524 to 776 of the family's 1533-position model. The record is from RNAcentral.
UACGGGGGGGGCAAGCGUUGUCCGGAUUUACUGGGCGUAAAGAGCGCGCAGGCGGUCGUUCAAGUCGAGUGUGAAAGCCCCCGGCUCAACUGGGGAGGGUCAUUCGAUACUGAUCGACUCGAAGGCAGGAGAGGGAAGUGGAAUUCCCGGUGUAGUGGUGCAAUGCGUAGAUAUCGGGAGGAACACCAGUGGCGAAGGCGACUUCCUGGCCUGUUCUUGACGCUGAGGCGCGAAAGCUAGGGGAGCAAACGGG